RNAcentral lists this ribosomal RNA (334 nucleotides) under uncultured Prevotella sp. RNAcentral's name for it is "bacterial SSU rRNA". It matches the Rfam family "Bacterial small subunit ribosomal RNA", at positions 355 to 687 of the family's 1533-position model. The record is from RNAcentral. Lineage: Bacteria; Pseudomonadati; Bacteroidota; Bacteroidia; Bacteroidales; Prevotellaceae.
UGAGGAAUAUUGGUCAAUGGCCGCAAGGCUGAACCAGCCAAGUAGCGUGCAGGAUGACGGCCCUCGGGUUGUAAACUGCUUUUAGUCGGGAAUAAAGUGAUGCCUGCGGGCGUUAUUGCAUGUACCGUACGAAUAAGGACCGGCUAAUUCCGUGCCAGCAGCCGCGGUAAUACGGAAGGUCCGGGCGUUAUCCGGAUUUAUUGGGUUUAAAGGGAGCGUAGGCUGUCCUUUAAGCGUGUUGUGAAAUGUAGGCGCUCAACGCCUGCACUGCAGCGCGAACUGAAGGACUUGAGUGUGCACGACGCUGGCGGAAUUCGUGGUGUAGCGGUGAAAU